UGAAUACGAAAUGCUACGGCAUUGAAGUGAUCUAUGCCAGGCUUCCAAGAAAAUCUCGUCAUAUCUUAAGCAGUAGAUGCCUGUACCUUAAACCGACACAGGUAGGUAGGUAGAGUAUACCAAGGGGCGCGAGAUAACUCUCUCUAAGGAACUCGGCAAAAUAACCUCGUAACUUCGGAAGAAGAGGUACCCUUGAAAAAGGGUUGCAAUAACCAGACCCUGGCGACUGUUUACCAAAAACACAGGUCUCCGCUAAUUCGUAAGAUCAAGUAUGGAGGCUGACGCCUGCCCAGUGCCGGAAGGUUAAAGAAGUUGGUCAAUCUUUGGAUGAAGCUGGCGACUGAAGCCCCGGUGAACGGCGGCCGUAACUAUAACGGUCCUAAGGUAGCGAAGUUCCUUGUCGGGUAAGUUCCGACCCGCACGAAAGGCGUAACGAUCAGGGUGCUGUCUCGGAGAGAGACUCGGCGAAAUAGACAUGUCUGUGAAGAUGCGGACUACCUGCACCUGGACAGAAAGACCCUAUGAAGCUUUACUGUAUCUUGGAAUUGGGUUUGGGCCUUGCUUGCGCAGGAUAGGUGGGAGGCUGUGAAGAUAUUCUUGCGGGAAUGUUGGAGCCAACGGUGAGAUACCACUCUAGUAAGGCUAAAAUUCUAACUCUGAACCGUUAUCCGGUCAGAGAACAGUUUCAGGUGGGCAGUUUGACUGGGGCGGUUGCCUCCUAAAAGGUAACGGAGGCGCGCAAAGGUUCCCUCAGGCUGGUUGGACAUCAGUCGUAGAGUGUAAAGGCAUAAGGGAGCUUGACUGCGAGACCCACAAGUCGAGCAGAGACGAAAGUCGGCCUUAGUGAUCCGACGGUUCCACGUGGAAGGGCCGUCGCUCAACGGAUAAAAGUUACUCUAGGAUAACAGGCUGAUCUCCCCCAAGAGUUCACAUCGACGGGGAGGUUUGGCACCUCGAUGUCGGCUCAUCGCAUCCUGGGGCGGUAGUACGUCCCAAGGGUUGGGCUGUUCGCCCAUGAAAGCGGUACGCGAGCUGGGUUCAGAACGUCGUGAGACAGUUCGGUCCAUAUCCGGUGCAGGCGUUAGAGCAUUGAGAGGAGUCCCCCUUAUUACGAGAGGACCGGGGGGAAUACACCGCUGGUGUACCAGUUAUCGUGCCAACGGUAAACGCUGGGUAGCCAUGUGUAGCGCGGAUAACUGCUGAAAGCAUCUAAGUAGGAAGCCCACCUUAAGAUGAGUGCUCUCACCGCUAUAAGCGGGUAAGGUCACGGUAAGAACAACCGUUAUAUAGGCAUUAAGUAUACGUGCAGUAAUGCAUUUAGCUGAGAUGUACUAACAGACCGUGGGCUUGAC
RNAcentral lists this ribosomal RNA (1352 nucleotides) under metagenome. Its description in RNAcentral is "bacterial LSU rRNA". It matches the Rfam family "Bacterial large subunit ribosomal RNA", at positions 1564 to 2925 of the family's 2925-position model. The record is from RNAcentral.